AUACGGAGGAUGCAAGCGUUGUCCGGAUUUAUUGGGUUUAAAGGGUGCGUAGGCGGGACUGUAAGUCAGGGGUGAAAUACUGCAGCUUAACUGUAGCAUUGCCUUUGAAACUGCCGUUCUUGAGUACAGUUGAGGUAGGCGGAAUGUGGUGUGUAGCGGUGAAAUGCAUAGAUAUACCACAGAACGCCGAUUGCGAAGGCAGCUUACUAAGCUGUUACUGACGCUGAGGCACGAAAGCGUGGGGAUCAAACAGGAUUAGAUACCCUGGUAGUCCACGCUGUAAACGAUGAUUACUGGUUGUUAGCGAUAUAUAGCUAGUGACUGAGCGAAAGCAUUAAGUAAUCCACCUGGGGAGUACGUCGGCAACGAUGAAACUCAAAUGAAUUGACGGGG
Molecule: ribosomal RNA, 393 nt
Filed under: uncultured bacterium
Lineage: Bacteria
Description: partial 16S ribosomal RNA
Rfam family: Bacterial small subunit ribosomal RNA
Source: RNAcentral